UUGGCAGUAGUUGGCUACAGAAGUAGAU
This 28-nucleotide non-coding RNA is filed under the name Rattus norvegicus (Norway rat). Lineage: Eukaryota; Metazoa; Chordata; Mammalia; Rodentia; Muridae. The record is from RNAcentral.